GUUCUCAAGAGAUCUGACAGUUUUAUAAGGGUCUUUUCCCCUUUUGCUCAGCACUUCUCCUUCCUGCCUGCCACCAUGUGAAGAAGGAUGUGUUUGCUUCCCCUUCCACCAUGACUGUAAGUUUCCUGAGGCCUCCCCAGCCAUGCUGAACGCAGCCUCAGCACCCCCUGGGAGCUCGAGACAUCUAAGGAGUUGACUGAGGCCCCUCCCUGACAUACUGAAGCGGAAUCUGCAUUUUAGCAAGAUCUGCAGGCAUGUGUGGGCCAUUGCAGCCUGAAUUAAUCAGGAGGGAAGAAGAAGUGCGACGAUAACUGGCCAGUGAUACACAGUGGGAGACAGACUGCGGAACUGCCCAUGAGGCCAAGCACCUAUUAGUAGACCAAGAAGCAUCACCCAUCCAUGGCCUAAGUCGGCAGCCAGCUAUUGUUCUCAUCUGAGUCUGGGAGUUCAGGAUUUCCAUCCUGACCCGGCUACUUUCUUUCAACAGUUACCCACUGUAAAUUUCCGAAUACUUUCAGCUACUAAUCCCAGUGUACCCAAUUAAAAAUGGCUUUCCUAAUAAAGGCAUUUCAGAUCGAAUUUA
This 583-nucleotide long non-coding RNA is filed under the name Homo sapiens (human). RNAcentral's name for it is "lncAB218.2". The record is from RNAcentral. Lineage: Eukaryota; Metazoa; Chordata; Mammalia; Primates; Hominidae.